Non-coding RNA from Arachis ipaensis, 302 nucleotides. Lineage: Eukaryota; Viridiplantae; Streptophyta; Magnoliopsida; Fabales; Fabaceae. The record is from RefSeq and is a predicted model, not a curated record.
GUCGUUGAUGAGCCCAGUCGCCGCCGAUCUGGUCUGAGGGUGAGGGAAUGCGAACAGAAGGGAAGAUGGGGAGCCACCGCCGCUGCUGGCUGAACCCCUCAAUGCUCCAUAUCGCCUCUGCCGUCUGGAACUGGCUUCGCCAUAGCUGAAAGGCUGGGCUUGGAAGGUGCUUCCGUCGUCAUCUCUUCUCGCAAGCAGCAAAAUGUUGAAGAGGCUGCAGAGAAACUUAGGGCUAAAGGAAUUGAAGUUUUGGCCCUUGUUUGCCAUGUCUCCAACGAUCAACAGAGAAAGGAUUUGAUUCA